AGCCUGCCCACUGAUUGAAAUUUAAAGGGCCGCGGUAUACUGACCGUGCGAAGGUAGCAUAAUCAUUAGUCUUUUAAUUGAAGGCUUGUAUGAAUGGUUGGACAAAAAGUAAGCUGUCUCAGUUAUAAUAAUUGAAUUUAACUUUUAAGUGAAAAGGCUUAAAUGGAUUAAGGGGACGAUAAGACCCUAUAAAGCUUGACAAUAAGUUAAUUAUAUUAUAAAUUGUUAGUAUAACUUGAUUUUAAUUGACGUUUGUUACGUUGGGGCGACGAGAAUAUAAUGAGUAACUGUUCUUAAAUGUUUAUUGACAAAUAUAAUUGGUAUUUGAUUGAUCCUUUAUUAAAGAUUAAAGAUUAAGUUACUUUAGGGAUAACAGCGUAAUCUUCUUUGAGAGUUCAUAUCGACAAGAAGGUUUUCGACCUCGAUGUUGAAUUAAGGUAUCCUUAUGAUGCAGCAGUUAUAAAGG
Molecule: ribosomal RNA, 466 nt
Filed under: Penaeus semisulcatus
Lineage: Eukaryota; Metazoa; Arthropoda; Malacostraca; Decapoda; Penaeidae
Description: partial 16S ribosomal RNA
Rfam family: Bacterial large subunit ribosomal RNA
Source: RNAcentral